CACACUAUUUAAUCCUCUUUUUUUACUAUAAGCCACUCUUUUUUUAAAUCUAGUUUUAUAUGCCUACAUUUUGCUUUUUAAGUUCACCACUUUUCUUUCACUCCUUUUUAUUGCCACUUUUGUGUAAUUCAUUCCUUUGUUGAAUCCUUUCUUUUUUAAUUCAUUUGGUCUAAAUUCUAAGGAAACUAGGCAUUUAACUUACAACUUCGUGG
Molecule: long non-coding RNA, 212 nt
Filed under: Capsicum annuum
Lineage: Eukaryota; Viridiplantae; Streptophyta; Magnoliopsida; Solanales; Solanaceae
Description: long non-coding RNA (CANN_LNC017264)
Source: RNAcentral